RNAcentral lists this ribosomal RNA (252 nucleotides) under uncultured Anaeroplasma sp. RNAcentral describes it as "partial 16S ribosomal RNA". It matches the Rfam family "Bacterial small subunit ribosomal RNA", at positions 524 to 776 of the family's 1533-position model. Lineage: Bacteria; Bacillati; Mycoplasmatota; Mollicutes; Anaeroplasmatales; Anaeroplasmataceae. The record is from RNAcentral.
UACGGAGGAUGCGAGCGUUAUCCGGAUUUAUUGGGUUUAAAGGGAGCGUAGGUGGAUUGUUAAGUCUUUUGUAAAAAUGCUAGGCUCAACCUAGUAGGGCAAAAGAUACUGAUGAACUAGAGUACGGCAGAGGCAAGUGGAACUACAUGUGUAGCGGUAAAAUGCGUAAAUAUAUGUAAGAACACCGGUGGCGAAGGCGGCUUGCUGGGCCUGUACUGACAUUGAGGCACGAAAGCGUGGGGAGCAAACAGG